UCCAGGCACAGUGGAGCGUGCCUGUAGCCCCAGCUCCGAGGGAGGCUGAGGUGGGAGGAUCGCUUGAAUCCAGGAGCUCUGGGCUGCAGUGCACUCUGCCGAUGGGGUGUCCACGCUAAGUUCGCAUGAAUACGCUGACCUCCCGGGAGCAGGAGACCACCAGGUUGCCUAAGGAGAGGUGAACUGGCUCAGGACUGAAACGGAGCAGGUCAAAACUCCCGUGCUGAUCUGUAAUUAUAUUUUUGCUAGUAGUUGAAACCAUGAGCAUUGAGUUUUAUAAUCCUUAGUUU
Molecule: signal recognition particle RNA, 290 nt
Filed under: Chinchilla lanigera (long-tailed chinchilla)
Lineage: Eukaryota; Metazoa; Chordata; Mammalia; Rodentia; Chinchillidae
Description: Metazoan signal recognition particle RNA (ENSCLAG00000021991.1)
Rfam family: Metazoan signal recognition particle RNA
About the family: The signal recognition particle (SRP) is a universally conserved ribonucleoprotein. It is involved in the co-translational targeting of proteins to membranes. The eukaryotic SRP consists of a 300-nucleotide 7S RNA and six proteins: SRPs 72, 68, 54, 19, 14, and 9.
Source: RNAcentral